GAAUGAGCUGCAGACCUGUUCAAAGUGUGCACCACGGGAGUUCGCUUGUUCUUCCAAACCAUUGCCUUCUGUGUCUACUAGAGGAAGAGAUUGUGCUUCUCAUCCUACGACCCUACUGACGAUGUUCCAGACCCAUCCUUCAUGUGUAUAUAAGUUGAUUCCAGGAAACGAGCGCCAGAGGAGAAAAGGAAUCGUUCAAUCCCACAAUCUCGCGCAUCGCAGUGGGAGUCACCCCACAGACUGCUAUGUGCGUUGAGAUCUCCAAGGAGAAGAUAUGGUUCUGGAAGUUCAUCAGGCGCUGCCACUACGCGUUGAGCUACCGUCGUAGAAAAGGCUUGAGGUCAAGUGCUCAAAGGCUUGAGGUCAAGUGACAGCUACGCAUGUAUUGGCGACAGAGUUGUUUUGAGCGCAUGCAGCGACCUGAUCUGCCAACACAUUUCCUCUGAUAUCACAAAGCCCUGGUACCCAGCACACUACAACAUGUGAUUUGAGAGCGUACAUUAUGCAUUAAAGAGUGUAAAGGGACGCAAGGA
Molecule: long non-coding RNA, 533 nt
Filed under: Rhipicephalus microplus (southern cattle tick)
Lineage: Eukaryota; Metazoa; Arthropoda; Arachnida; Ixodida; Ixodidae
Description: uncharacterized LOC119160866, transcript variant X1
Source: RNAcentral